UGGGGAGACUAUAAAUUACAACUGUGAAUUACCAAAAUUAAGUAUUUUUUCCCAAGAAAUCAUUUUGAUACUUCCAGGACAUCAUGGACCACUUCUUUCAUGAAAGGUUUAUUACAAAAACGCAAGACAAAACAUGUCAACUGUUUUUCUAAAGGCAAACACAAUACAAAAAACAUACACCUCUCUAUAGGAUGUAGGUCCGCUGCAUCAAAAAAUUAAAUAAUGACAGCGAAAAAUAAAACAUUAUUAGUUUCACAAUCCAAAAGGCUGAGAUUGCUGAUAAACAGGAGAGAGGAGAAUAUUGUUUGCCACUGGACAAAAAGGCCAGAACCACAACAGAAAACCAAACCAAAUAAAACUGAACUCAACUAAGCCUGUAGGGCCCUGAGAGGAACCAGGGGGAUCUAGCUCUUCAAACAAAAUCAACUAAAUAAACAUCAACUGACAUAAAUACAGGGAAAGUACCAAGCUUUUUUUCCAUUUUCAAUUAACAUGGUGGGUGUAAUAGUCUGGGCCGGUGCUUGAUGCAUACCACUAAACCGUUUCCCAAGGUGUCCUAUUCAAACACUGAAAGAAAUAAAGAGAAUUCACGGCUAACUUCCAAUUCAAAACAAUAAAAGUUAUUCACGAGAACGGUCAAGUGUGGAUCAUUGUUCAGAGUACCCAGGUUGCUUAAAGCAAAUAUAAACAUCAAACAGGACACUAACUUUCAAUAGAUAAUUGGACAAUUUAACUGAAAAAUAAAAUCCAUCUGGCUAUGCAUGUAUACAAGCGUUUUUUUUUUUUUUAAAGCUUUGGUGAUAUACAGUAAUUAGUUGACAGCUUGUGAUAAUAUAUCUGUGAAUGGUAAUGGUCUUGUGAAAAGUUCAUCCGAAGAAGUGGAACUUUGGGGGGGAAACAAAGAUAGCUUUGCCACUAAAAGGUGUUUUUAUAUUUGUCAUUGCUGUGAAUUGCCUUCCCUACUAUGUAAAUUGCACCUUUGUUCCCAAUUCAUAAAUAAGAAGUGCAGUUUCCCUACAACCUCAAUACACACGUGUACAAAAUAUGAAAUCCUAAAUCCAAGGAAUAUUUGAGAGUAUUUGUCAAAAUACACUGCACAUAUUAAAUAUUUCAAUUACUCUCACUUCCACAAAUGCAAUGUUUUUACAUACUCACAGUAG
Molecule: long non-coding RNA, 1160 nt
Organism: Esox lucius (northern pike)
Lineage: Eukaryota; Metazoa; Chordata; Actinopteri; Esociformes; Esocidae
Source: Ensembl